Molecule: transfer RNA, 71 nt
Filed under: Saccoglossus kowalevskii
Lineage: Eukaryota; Metazoa; Hemichordata; Enteropneusta; Harrimaniidae
Description: tRNA-Gly
Rfam family: tRNA
About the family: Transfer RNA (tRNA) molecules are approximately 80 nucleotides in length. Their secondary structure includes four short double-helical elements and three loops (D, anti-codon, and T loops).
Source: RNAcentral
GCAUUGGUGGUUCAAUGGUAGAAUUCUCGCCUGCCACGCGGGAGGCCCGGGUUCGAUUCCUGGCUAAUGCA